This 200-nucleotide ribosomal RNA is filed under the name uncultured bacterium. RNAcentral describes it as "partial 16S ribosomal RNA". It matches the Rfam family "Bacterial small subunit ribosomal RNA", at positions 1301 to 1500 of the family's 1533-position model. The record is from RNAcentral.
UAGUCUGCAACUCGACUACAUGAAGCUGGAAUCGCUAGUAAUCGCAGAUCAGAAUGCUGCGGUGAAUACGUUCCCGGGUCUUGUACACACCGCCCGUCACACCAUGGGAGUCGGAAAUGCCCGAAGCCGGUGACCCAACCAAAAGGAGGGAGCCGUCGAAGGCAGGUCUGAUAACUGGGGUGAAGUCGUAACAAGGUAUC